RNAcentral lists this non-coding RNA (81 nucleotides) under Ensifer adhaerens. RNAcentral's name for it is "suhB". The stretch from base 1 to 72 matches the Rfam family "Alphaproteobacterial ar15", at positions 44 to 112 of the family's 112-position model. RNAcentral also lists the same sequence under 3 other names. Lineage: Bacteria; Pseudomonadati; Pseudomonadota; Alphaproteobacteria; Hyphomicrobiales; Rhizobiaceae. The record is from RNAcentral.
AGCUGUUCCCCUCUGGAGGUUUAAUUACCUUCACAACUUAUAAGGGCCCAAGUCAUCUUGUGGCCCUCUUUUUUUGUCUAC